RNAcentral lists this ribosomal RNA (491 nucleotides) under uncultured bacterium. RNAcentral describes it as "partial 16S ribosomal RNA". It matches the Rfam family "Bacterial small subunit ribosomal RNA", at positions 29 to 507 of the family's 1533-position model. The record is from RNAcentral.
GUGAACGCUGGCGGUAGGCCUAACCCAUGCCAGUCGCACGGCAGCACAGUAAGAGCUUGCUCUUACGGGUGGCGAGUGGCGGACGGGUGAGGAAUACAUCGGAAUCUACUUUUUCGUGGGGGAUAACGUAGGGAAACUUACGCUAAUACCGCAUACGACCUACGGGUGAAAGCAGGGGGUCUUCGGACCUUGCGCGAUUGAAUGAGCCGAUGUCGGAUUAGCUAGUUGGCGGGGUAAAGGCCCACCAAGGCGACGAUCCGUAGCUGGUCUGAGAGGAUGAUCAGCCACACUGGAACUGAGACACGGUCCAGACUCCUACGGGAGGCAGCAGUGGGGAAUAUUGGACAAUGGGCGCAAGCCUGAUCCAGCCAUACCGCGUGGGUGAAGAAGGCCUUCGGGUUGUAAAGCCCUUUUGUUGGGAAAGAAAAGCAGCAGGUUAAUACCCCGCUGUUCUGACGGUACCCAAAGAAUAAGCACCGGCUAACUUCGUG